GCGACCCCAGGAUGGGCGAGGUCACCCGCUGAGUUUAA
This 38-nucleotide ribosomal RNA is filed under the name Dendrobium jenkinsii. Its description in RNAcentral is "partial 28S ribosomal RNA". RNAcentral also lists the same sequence under 1 other name. Lineage: Eukaryota; Viridiplantae; Streptophyta; Magnoliopsida; Asparagales; Orchidaceae. The record is from RNAcentral.